CCUACGGGGGGCAGCAGUGGGGCAUAUUGCACAAUGGGGGAAACUCUGAUGCAGCGACGCCGCGUGAGUGAAGAAGUACUUCGGUAUGUAAAGCUCUAUCAGCAGGGAAGAAAAUGACGGUACCUGAUUAAGAAGCCCCGUCUAACUACGUGCCAGCAGCCGCGGCAAUACGUAGGGGGCAAGCGUUAUCCGGAUGUACUGGGUGUAAAGGGAGCGUAGGCGGCAGCACAAGUCUGGAGUGAAAUGCCGGGGCUUAACCCCGGAACUGCUUUGGAAACUGUGCAGCUAGAGUGCAGGAGAGGUAAGUGGAAUUCCUAGUGUAGUGGUGAAAUGCGUAGAUAUUAGGAGGAACACCAGUGGCGAAGGCGGCUUACUGGACUGUAACUGACGUUGAGGCUCGAAAGCGUGGGGAGCAAACAGGAUUAGAUACCCUGGUAGUC
RNAcentral lists this ribosomal RNA (440 nucleotides) under uncultured bacterium. RNAcentral describes it as "partial 16S ribosomal RNA". It matches the Rfam family "Bacterial small subunit ribosomal RNA", at positions 338 to 795 of the family's 1533-position model. The record is from RNAcentral.